RNAcentral lists this small RNA (326 nucleotides) under Histoplasma capsulatum var. duboisii H88. Its description in RNAcentral is "Histoplasma capsulatum H88 hypothetical RNA". Lineage: Eukaryota; Fungi; Ascomycota; Eurotiomycetes; Onygenales; Ajellomycetaceae. The record is from RNAcentral.
UCGCCUUGCCCAACCCAGCUGGAGCCAAUAUUUGCAUGGCCCUCCAUACCCAAAAUACAGGAGGGCUGAGGGCAUUGGCUUAUGUAUGGUACCAUUCAUUUACAUGCGCCAGUAGCAUUUCCACCGAGCAACGACCUAAUCACUCUGGAUGGAUGUUGCUUGGAGAUUUGGGGUGACUUUGAAUGAGUUGAGAUUUUAUUGAUAAAACUUGAAAACAUUAUUAUGCACUAAGAAACAUGGCAAUAUAUGGUAGAUCACGGAUCAUGGAUCUUCCCCCAGUUGCGCGAGGCAGUUAUGGGACCAGUACAUAAUCUUCUGCAAAGCGG